CGACACACCAGCUCCCCGGCCGAGCCGCAGGCGAUGUAGCUGAGCGCGGCCGCCACAAACCUCUCCCGCAGGCUGCCUUGUGUGAGGAGAAGCGAGCUGGGAAGGAAGCAGGCACCAGCGCUCACCUCCCAGCGUGGCGGCCAGCAAGAAGUGGGUCCCAUACUUCUUGAUGAGGCUGUCGGUGAUCUGCUGAGGGCUGGGCCGGCGUCCCAGCAGGCGGAUGUUGCGGAUGAACUCGGGGGCCAGGGGAAGCGGCAGGUUGAAGAAGUCUUUCCUCUCCAAGGCCAAGUUGUUCACCUUCCAGCGAGCAAACUCUCUGCGGGAGGAGAGGGACGAUGGGGAGGGGGUUUUGGAAGCCAGCGUGGCUAUGACGCUUGCACGCUGGCCCCUCUGCUGUGCCCAGUUUCUACCUCGGGGAUCUACCAGGGGAUCAGUAGGUGGAAGAAGUCCCAUUGGGGCCGUUCUGACUUCCUGAGGAGGUGAAGGACCCGGGGCCACGUGCUCACCAGCUAUAGAUCCAGCCAGGAUGAAAGCAUCGUCCCUCCCUAAGCCAUCGAUGGCAAUAACAAGCCUGGCACUACCUGUGGGAGCACAGAGGGAGUUUUGCUGGGAUCAGCAGUCCUGGAUUUGCAAGUCAAGUUGGCAGAUGUGGAGCUGCAAGGUA
Molecule: long non-coding RNA, 664 nt
Organism: Apus apus (common swift)
Lineage: Eukaryota; Metazoa; Chordata; Aves; Apodiformes; Apodidae
Exons: 3
Source: RefSeq, a predicted model, not a curated record